GGUUUCACCAUGUUGGCCAGGCUGGUCUGGAACUCCUGACCUCAGGUGAUCCACCCGCCUUGACCUCCCAAAGUGCUGGGAUUACAGGCGUGAGCCACGGCGCCCGGCCAUCAUGUGCUUAUUUUUAAAGCGAGGUGGAUGACACCAUUCACCCAGAGCCGUGUUCCUUUUUGGCGACAAAACAAAACCAAAAAAGCCUAGGACUUGACUCAUUAGAAGUGUUAAUCGAUUUUUACCACGCUGAAAUGAAGGUAUAAAGUCAGUCUGUGCUGUCGUGAAAUUCCAAGGAGAUUUGGAAGUAAGAUCAUUAUUUACUGGUCCUUUAGAAUAGACCCCACCCCCCAAAAAAAGACUUAAAAAACGAGGGCUGUCCCCUGCAGACUCUGGCAGGACCCUGGGCUGCUCUGGGCGAUGCAGACCAGGGGCAGCUCACCGACUUGAUUCACAGUGAUUCUGGUUUGCCGUUUCUCUGUGUGGCCACGAGUCGGGGGCGUGUCCAGCGGUGGGCAUACUUACACCUUGUAGUUAAGCUCAGCGUUCAUCUGGGUAUACGUCUCGUAGAUGACAUCGAUGGUCGCCAUGUAGUUGACUAGGAAGAGGCGGAUCUUUUCCAGGCACUCCUCCUCCGUCACAUUCUGCCCCUUGGAGAGCGCUUUCAGGAAGUCGGACUUACAGGAGGCUGCGUACAGUGCUGCCUGGAAGAUCUGCACGAUCCAGCCGUGGUACUUCAUGAGGGCCAUUUCGUAGGCCUUGGUGGCGUUGACGCGGAUGAGGUUGAGGUGGUUCUCGUCCGGCUCCUCGUUGCAGAUGCUCUGGAGGAAGACCUGGAUGAAGCGGAGGCCUCUUUUCAGCCACAUCAGCGCCAGCGUGGCCCCUACUUUGAGCCGCUCUGCUCCAUACAUUUCUUUCUCCACCUCCAGGAUGUUCUGCAGGGUCCGGAACUUGGCUGGGUUGGUGUCGUACACAGCUUUGAUUUUUGUGAUGUUGCUGCUUAUGUCUGCCUUGAUGGGAGUAAACACUGGGGACCCAAGGCAAUCGAAGAAGGGCGGCAGGUGGGACACCGCCUCGAGGAAGGGCCCAGUCUCGAUCUGCUUGUCCGCGGGCAGCGGCUUCAGCAGGUGUUCGGUCAGCAGAGCCAUUUCGGGUUCG
This 1149-nucleotide long non-coding RNA is filed under the name Homo sapiens (human). Its description in RNAcentral is "long non-coding RNA NONHSAT160129.1". Lineage: Eukaryota; Metazoa; Chordata; Mammalia; Primates; Hominidae. The record is from RNAcentral.